GACGAAACGCGGCGGCGUGCCUAAUACAUGCAAGUAGAACGCUGAAGGAGGAGCUUGCUCUUCUGGAUGAGUUGCGAACGGGUGAGUAACGCGUAGGUAACCUGCCUGGUAGCGGGGGAUAACUAUUGGAAACGAUAGCUAAUACCGCAUAAUAUUGAUUAUUGCAUGAUAGUCAAUUAAAAGGUGCAAUUGCAUCACUACCAGAUGGACCUGCGUUGUAUUAGCUAGUUGGUGAGGUAACGGCUCACCAAGGCAACGAUACAUAGCCGACCUGAGAGGGUGAUCGGCCACACUGGGACUGAGACACGGCCCAGACUCCUACGGGAGGCAGCAGUAGGGAAUCUUCGGCAAUGGACGGAAGUCUGACCGAGCAACGCCGCGUGAGUGAAGAAGGUUUUCGGAUCGUAAAGCUCUGUUGUAAGAGAAGAACGAGUGUGAGAGUGGAAAGUUCACACUGUGACGGUAUCUUACCAGAAAGGGACGGCUAACUACGUGCCAGCAGCCGCGGUAAUACGUAGGUCCCGAGCGUUGUCCGGAUUUAUUGGGCGUAAAGCGAGCGCAGGCGGUUAGAUAAGUCUGAAGUUAAAGGCUGUGGCUUAACCAUAGUACGCUUUGGAAACUGUUUAACUUGAGUGCAAGAGGGGAGAGUGGAAUUCCAUGUGUAGCGGUGAAAUGCGUAGAUAUAUGGAGGAACACCGGUGGCGAAAGCGGCUCUCUGGCUUGUAACUGACGCUGAGGCUCGAAAGCGUGGGGAGCAAACAGG
This 763-nucleotide ribosomal RNA is filed under the name uncultured Streptococcus sp. RNAcentral's name for it is "bacterial SSU rRNA". It matches the Rfam family "Bacterial small subunit ribosomal RNA", at positions 28 to 776 of the family's 1533-position model. The record is from RNAcentral. Lineage: Bacteria; Bacillati; Bacillota; Bacilli; Lactobacillales; Streptococcaceae.